RNAcentral lists this ribosomal RNA (466 nucleotides) under uncultured bacterium. Its description in RNAcentral is "bacterial SSU rRNA". It matches the Rfam family "Bacterial small subunit ribosomal RNA", at positions 328 to 792 of the family's 1533-position model. The record is from RNAcentral.
ACACCAGACUCCUACGGGAGGCAGCAGUGAGGAAUAUUGGUCAAUGGCCGGAAGGCUGAACCAGCCAAGCCGCGUGAGGGAGGAAGGCGCAGAGCGUCGCAGACCUCUUUUGCCGGGGGACAAAAGGCCGGACGGGUCCGGUUCUGAGGGUACCCGGAGAAAAAGCAUCGGCUAACUCCGUGCCAGCAGCCGCGGUAAUACGGAGGAUGCGAGCGUUAUCCGGAUUUAUUGGGUUUAAAGGGUGCGCAGGCGGAUUUUUAAGUCAGCGGUCAAAUCGUGGGGCUCAACCCCAUCCAGCCGUUGAAACUGGGGAUCUAGAGUGUGCGAGAGGUAUGCGGAAUGCGUGGUGUAGCGGUGAAAUGCUUAGAUAUCACGAAGAACUCCGAUUGCGAAGGCAGCCUACUAAACUGCCACUGACAUUGAUGCUCGAAAGUGUGGGUAUCAAACAGGAUUAGAUACCCUAGUA